GUGCUCGCUUCAGCAGCGCAUAUACUAAAAUUGGAACAAUACAGAGAAGAUUAGCACGGUCCCUGCGUGUGCAUAAUACGUAUGCUAAAACCAUAGAGUUUUU
This is a small nuclear RNA of Heteronotia binoei (common prickly gecko), 103 nucleotides long. The record is from RefSeq and is a predicted model, not a curated record. NCBI's taxonomy places the organism in Eukaryota, Metazoa, Chordata, Lepidosauria, Squamata, Gekkonidae.